CCAGGUCUUCACUUCUUGCAUGUUCUUGACUUGUUAGAGGAAAUCGUGUAUCGACAUUGGUAUUGAUUUGCAUAAUUCAGAUAUAAUUAGGAGAAAGAUUUGCCGCGUGGCAGGCAGCGGGGCCGGUGCUGCCGGAUCCUGCUGACCUUGGGGAAAUCUCAGAGCUGGGCCUUUCACCCUCACCAGGGGCAAGCCUCCCAUUCUCUGCAAAGCCCCGAAAUUCCCUCUUCUGUGAGGCGUCAGGGCAGCAGGAGGGCCCUUGUGCCCCCAAACUCUUUCCCUGCCCGGCCCCGGGAUCUGGAAUUCUGACCCCAGGGCCGUCCCACGGGGACAUGCGGGGAGUGACCAGGAGGACAGGCGCCCGUGUGGAGGGAGGGAGAGGCCCUCGGGGUGGGGCCGUCCUGACGGUGGGAGGACACGGAAGCAGAUCCCAGCAGUGCUGGAAGCAAGAGACUAGAAAUUAAUGUGACCCAGUGAAUGAUGUCGCGGCCGUGAUGAUAAGUGGCAGCGCGUCCUUGCAAAGAUUAGCAAGAUAACGAGGCAGAGAAGCAAGCAAAAGUGCCCGGCCGUGCCCGUUCCGACCUGUCAUCAUUCCUUCGCGCCUUCGUUCAUCCCUCCGUCCGUUCACAGGUGUUUAUCGCGGGGCCAUUACGUGCCAGGCAGAUAGUCAAGAACCAGGUGUCGCUACUGGGAAACUUGGCUCCUACCCACCCCACCCAGGAGGAGGGAUCGGGCUCUGGGACUCGGGGCCUGGGGGAGCUAGCGCCCGGGGGACCCUAGGAUACCUCCCUUGAAUUGUGCCUCCAUUUCCCCGUGAGCUGGUUGUGUUCCGGGAAGGCGGGCGGGAAGGCAGGCGACAGCAGGGAGGCGGGGUGAGGGAGGACGGGGAGGCUGCACCAGAAGCAGGGAGUCCCUCCCCACACCCGACCUCCUGUCCCCGUGUGACCCCUCCUCCUCCCACACAGGCCUGCACGGGCGUCACCAGGAGCCACAGCCAAUUUCCCGAGGGAGCGAUCUCCAGGCCACUGAUUUACUCGUCAGCUGUCGCCUGUCGCCUCGGGCCCUGCGUAGUGCUGCUCGUGGGGCUUCCCCGCCCUCUGGCCGUGACGCACUGACGGACACCGACGGUCCCUGUGGAAAUGGCGACAUGGCCCUCGGCCCGCGGGGGCUGCUACGCCCCAGAACCGAGGAAGAGCAGAAGGGAUUCCCACGGGGGAGUCAGGACUUUUCAGCUUCCGUUUGGCCACGUUUCGACCUCACGGGCCACUUGGGGACCCGCCGCCGUUCCCGCUGCCCCCCCUUCUCGGGCCCAGGCUGGUGAUGCAGUGAGGACCUUGCGGCCUGAUUCCUCUCGCCAAGGUUAACUGGCGUCUUCAUUGGCGUGAGAGCUCCUGCUGUGCUCGGAGGAGCGCACGGCCUCAGAGCGGGGCUGGCCUGCGCCCUCCUUUGAUCUCGGCUCAGCUGACCCUCCCAGCUGCGUGUGCUUCCCUGUUCCCACCAACUUCGCUUUCUACUUUAUUUUCUGCUUACAUAUUUCUAGUUUCUUUUACU
RNAcentral lists this long non-coding RNA (1551 nucleotides) under Canis lupus familiaris (dog). Its description in RNAcentral is "lncRNA (ENSCAFG00040006483.1)". Lineage: Eukaryota; Metazoa; Chordata; Mammalia; Carnivora; Canidae. The record is from RNAcentral.